This 881-nucleotide long non-coding RNA is filed under the name Homo sapiens (human). RNAcentral describes it as "HSALNT0143168". The record is from RNAcentral. Lineage: Eukaryota; Metazoa; Chordata; Mammalia; Primates; Hominidae.
GCAAUGGAAAGCCCUGAUGGAGCCCGGUGUAAACUAUGCAGGGUGCCAGAGCCCCCACUGACAGCGCUGGUGUCCACAUGUGGUCACAGGGAUACAGCGGCAGCAUCCCAAAGCCCUAGCCUGGUCCAUCACCCUCAAAACUGCCUCUGGUAAUAGAACCUUCUUCAACUAGUUUAAGCAGUCAAGCCUUUUAUAUAUUUGGUGGCUCACAGAAUCUCCAGCAGGGCUGAAGAGUCAGGCGUGGAAGAGACACACCCAGGAACAACUCACCAACCACUCCUGACCCGGCUUCUCCACUGGAGACACCAUUGCCAUUAGACAAGAAUGAACCUGCACACCUUGCUGAUGCUGGUGUAGCACUGUCGCUAGAACCUCUGCCUCUGCUCCUCUUGGUCUCCCACAUUCAGUACCUCCUUCUUCACCUUGGUCUCUUCUAAGCCUCCGCCCCUCCCACAAUGGAUAGGGCUGACCUGUGUAACCAACAGGAUGUUGCAGAAAUGACAUAGUGUGACUUCAACACUAAGUCACAUAAGACAUCGCAACUUCUGCCUUGCUCUUUUGGAGCACUUGUUGUAGGGAAAACCAGCUGCCAUGUCAUAAGGACACUUAAGCAAUGCUCUGGAGAGAUCUACAUGGCAAAGAACUGAGGCCUCCUGCCAACCCCCAGCACAAAUGAGCCAGGCAUGCAAGACAUCAUCUUGGAAAGGGAUCCUGCAGCCUCACUUGAGCCUUCAGAUGAUGCAGCUCCAGCUGACAUCUUGGCUGCAACCUCAUGAGGGACCCUGGGCCAGCACCACCCAGCCAAGCUGCUCCAGACACCUGAUCCACAAAAACUUUGUGAGAUAAUAAAAUAAAAUACAUUUUAACAUUUUUUGCUUACA